Molecule: ribosomal RNA, 199 nt
Filed under: uncultured bacterium
Lineage: Bacteria
Description: partial 16S ribosomal RNA
Rfam family: Bacterial small subunit ribosomal RNA
Source: RNAcentral
GGCUGCAACUCGCCUACAUGAAGUCGGAAUUGCUAGUAAUCGCGGAUCAGCAUGCCGCGGUGAAUACGUUCCCGGGCCUUGUACACACCGCCCGUCACACCAUGGGAGUCGGAAAUGCCCGAAGCCGGUGACCAAACCAAUAAGGAAGGAGCCGUCGAAGGCAGGUCUGAUAACUGGGGUGAAGUCGUAACAAGGUAUC